CCUACGGGAGGCACCAGUGGGGAAUAUUGGACAAUGGGCGAAAGCCUGAUCCAGCAAUGCCGCGUGUGUGAAGAAGGUCUUCGGAUUGUAAAGCACUUUCGACGGGGACGAUGAUGACGGUACCCGUAGAAGAAGCCCCGGCUAACUUCGUGCCAACAGCCGCGGUAAUACGAAGGGGGCUAGCGUUGCUCGGAAUGACUGGGCGUAAAGGGCGCGUAGGCGGUUUAUGCAGUCAGAUGUGAAAUCCCCGGGCUUAACCUGGGAACUGCAUUUGAGACGCAUAGACUAGAGGUCGAGAGGGUUGUGGAAUUCCCAGUGUAGAGGUGAGAUUCGUAGAUAUUGGGAAGAACACCGGUGGCGAAGGCGGCAACCUGGCUCGAUACUGACGCUGAGGCGCGAAAGCGUGGGGAGCAAACAGGAUUAGAUACCCUUGUAGUC
Molecule: ribosomal RNA, 438 nt
Filed under: uncultured bacterium
Lineage: Bacteria
Description: bacterial SSU rRNA
Rfam family: Bacterial small subunit ribosomal RNA
Source: RNAcentral